AUGGACAUGACGGUUGCAUACUUUGAAAGCCGGCAAGAUGAGAAUCCUGAAUUCUACUAUGCAAAAAUAGUUGAUGAGGAAACAAACUCUGUCACUGGACUGUUUUGGGUUGAUGGGAGGACAAGGGCAUUGUACCCUAAGUACAGAGAUUGUAUUUUCUUUGACACCACUUUUACAAAUAGGUACAAUAUGCCAUUUGCUCCGAUUGUUGGCCUCAACAACCAUUUGCAGACAAUUUUGUUGGGGUGUGCUUUGCUUCCGAAUGAACAAAUUGAAACCUUCAAGUGGGUAUUCCAGAACUUUUUGAUUGCGAUGAACAAUGUACACCCAUUGAACAUCAUGACAGACCAAGACAAGGCAAUGGAAACAGCCAUUUUUGAAGCCUUACCAAAUACAGUGCAUAGGUGUUGCAAAUGGAAUGUCCAGCGGAAAGCGAGAGAGAAGUUGGGCAGAAUACUUAGCAGGGAUGAAGUAUUUGAGCAAGCUUUCUACACAUGCAAAAAUGUUGAGAAGUUUCUCAAAUUACUGUGA
RNAcentral lists this ribosomal RNA (531 nucleotides) under Triticum aestivum (bread wheat). RNAcentral's name for it is "partial small subunit ribosomal RNA". The record is from RNAcentral. Lineage: Eukaryota; Viridiplantae; Streptophyta; Magnoliopsida; Poales; Poaceae.